This 255-nucleotide ribosomal RNA is filed under the name uncultured bacterium. RNAcentral's name for it is "partial 16S ribosomal RNA". It matches the Rfam family "Bacterial small subunit ribosomal RNA", at positions 80 to 339 of the family's 1533-position model. The record is from RNAcentral.
UCGGUUAGAGGACAGUGGCGGACGGGUGAGUAAUAUUUAGGAAAUCUGCCUUCUAGAGGGGGACAACAGAGGGAAACUUCUGCUAAUACCCCAUAUGAGCUACCUUGAGAUAGGUAUCUUGAAAACUCCGGUGCUAGAAGAUGAGCCUGAACCUGAUUAGCUUGUUGGUGGUGUAAUGGACUACCAAGGCGACGAUCAGUAGCUGGUUUGAGAGGAUGAUCAGCCACAAUGGGACUGAGACACGGCCCAUACUCC